RNAcentral lists this ribosomal RNA (500 nucleotides) under uncultured bacterium. RNAcentral describes it as "partial 16S ribosomal RNA". It matches the Rfam family "Bacterial small subunit ribosomal RNA", at positions 30 to 523 of the family's 1533-position model. The record is from RNAcentral.
AUUGAACGCUGGCGGAAUGCUUUACACAUGCAAGUCGAACGGCAGCACGGACUUCGGUCUGGUGGCGAGUGGCGAACGGGUGAGUAAUGUAUCGGAACGUGCCCAGUCGUGGGGGAUAACGUAGUGAAAAUUGCGCUAAUACCGCAUACGAUCUAUGGAUGAAAGCGGGGGAUCGCAAGACCUCGCGCGAUUGGAGCGGCCGAUAUCAGAUUAGGUAGUUGGUGGGGUAAAGGCCCACCAAGCCAACGAUCUGUAGCUGGUCUGAGAGGACGACCAGCAGCACUGGAACUGAGACACGGUCCAGACUCCUACGGGAGGCAGCAGUGGGGAAUUUUGGACAAUGGGCGAAAGCCUGAUCCAGCCAUUCCGCGUGCAGGAUGAAGGCCCUCGGGUUGUAAACUGCUUUUGUACAGAACGAAAAGGUUUCUACUAAUACUAGGAGCUCAUGACGGUACUGUAAGAAUAAGCACCGGCUAACUACGUGCCAGCAGCCGCAGUAA